RNAcentral lists this ribosomal RNA (312 nucleotides) under uncultured Glomeromycotina. RNAcentral describes it as "LSU rRNA". Lineage: Eukaryota; Fungi; Glomeromycota. The record is from RNAcentral.
UUGAAAGGGAAACGAUUGAAGUCAGUCAUGCCGGUGGGAAUCAACUUAGGGGAAACUCUAGGUGCACUUCUUCGCUUGGCAGGUCAACGUCGAUUUUGAAUGUCAUAAAAUAAUUGGGGGAAGGUAGCUCCUUCGGGAGUGUUAUAGCCCUUGAUAGAUGUGAUGUUUGGGGUCGAGGAUUGCAACGGAUACCCUCUGGGGCUAGCCGCCUGAUCUCUAAUCGGUGUUGGGUUACGGAUAGCAUGCUGACCGUGAUCUAAUUACUGGUUAAAAGGUUAGAGCGUGCAUAAAUUCGUUAAGGAUGUUGACGUA